Molecule: unclassified non-coding RNA, 368 nt
Filed under: Hevea brasiliensis (rubber tree)
Lineage: Eukaryota; Viridiplantae; Streptophyta; Magnoliopsida; Malpighiales; Euphorbiaceae
Source: RNAcentral
GAAAGUGGCAGUGCCGGCGGGGCAGGUGCUGCCGGCUCCGACGGGUGUCUCUCUCAGGGAUGCCGCUAGCUUUCCGGAGGUCGCAUGUACUGUGUGGUCGACUGUGUUCAUGACGAGCCGGCUGUCGGCCGGGGAGAGCUUCUUGAUUCACGGGGGAUCUAGCGGAAUCGGGACAUUUGCUAUCCAGAUUGCUAAACACAUUGGAGCAAAGGUGUUUGUUACGGCAGGAAGCGAAGAACAUCUAACUGCUUGUAAACAUCUUGGUGCUGAUGUCGGCAUUAAUUACAAGACUGAAGACUUUGCUCUGCGGGUUAAGGAGGAGACAGGCAGCAAGGGAGUUGAUGUUAUCCUGGACAUUAUUGGUGCGC